RNAcentral lists this ribosomal RNA (1444 nucleotides) under uncultured organism. RNAcentral's name for it is "SSU rRNA". It matches the Rfam family "Bacterial small subunit ribosomal RNA". The record is from RNAcentral.
UACAGGCUUAACACAUGCAAGUCGAGGGGCAGCAUGGUCUUAGCUUGCUAAGGCCGAUGGCGACCGGCGCACGGGUGAGUAACACGUAUCCAACCUGCCGUCUACUCUUGGACAGCCUUCUGAAAGGAAGAUUAAUACAAGAUGGCAUCAUGAGUCCGCAUGUUCACAUGAUUAAAGGUAUUCCGGUAGACGAUGGGGAUGCGUUCCAUUAGAUAGUAGGCGGGGUAACGGCCCACCUAGUCUUCGAUGGAUAGGGGUUCUGAGAGGAAGGUCCCCCACAUUGGAACUGAGACACGGUCCAAACUCCUACGGGAGGCAGCAGUGAGGAAUAUUGGUCAAUGGGCGAGAGCCUGAACCAGCCAAGUAGCGUGAAGGAUGACUGCCCUAUGGGUUGUAAACUUCUUUUAUAAAGGAAUAAAGUCGGGUAUGGAUACCCGUUUGCAUGUACUUUAUGAAUAAGGAUCGGCUAACUCCGUGCCAGCAGCCGCGGUAAUACGGAGGAUCCGAGCGUUAUCCGGAUUUAUUGGGUUUAAAGGGAGCGUAGAUGGAUGUUUAAGUCAGUUGUGAAAGUUUGCGGCUCAACCGUAAAAUUGCAGUUGAUACUGGAUAUCUUGAGUGCAGUUGAGGCAGGCGGAAUUCGUGGUGUAGCGGUGAAAUGCUUAGAUAUCACGAAGAACUCCGAUUGCGAAGGCAGCCUGCUAAGCUGCAACUGACAUUGAGGCUCGAAAGUGUGGGUAUCAAACAGGAUUAGAUACCCUGGUAGUCCACACGGUAAACGAUGAAUACUCGCUGUUUGCGAUAUACUGCAAGCGGCCAAGCGAAAGCGUUAAGUAUUCCACCUGGGGAGUACGCCGGCAACGGUGAAACUCAAAGGAAUUGACGGGGGCCCGCACAAGCGGAGGAACAUGUGGUUUAAUUCGAUGAUACGCGAGGAACCUUACCCGGGCUUAAAUUGCAGAUGAAUUACGGUGAAAGCCGUAAGCCGCAAGGCAUCUGUGAAGGUGCUGCAUGGUUGUCGUCAGCUCGUGCCGUGAGGUGUCGGCUUAAGUGCCAUAACGAGCGCAACCCUUGUUGUCAGUUACUAACAGGUUCCGCUGAGGACUCUGACAAGACUGCCAUCGUAAGAUGUGAGGAAGGUGGGGAUGACGUCAAAUCAGCACGGCCCUUACGUCCGGGGCUACACACGUGUUACAAUGGGGGGUACAGAGGGCCGCUACCACGCGAGUGGAUGCCAAUCCCCAAAACCUCUCUCAGUUCGGACUGGAGUCUGCAACCCGACUCCACGAAGCUGGACUCGCUAGUAAUCGCGCAUCAGCCACGGCGCGGUGAAUACGUUCCCGGGCCUUGUACACACCGCCCGUCAAGCCAUGGGAGCCGGGGGUACCUGAAGUGCGUAACCGCGAGGAGCGCCCUAGGGUAAAACUGGUGACUGGGGCUAAGUCGU